GAGUGAUGCUGGGACUCCGAUUUUUUACUAUAAAAUGUAUAUCAAACAAACCAAUGAUUGCACAUUGUUAAAAGUAGUCAUUGUGCCUAUAGUUGUCUGAUUUGUUUCACUUUGAAAUCAUUGGUUUUGGUUAGACAUACAUUUUAAAGUGAAACAUCUGAGUGUCAGCAUCCCUCUGUUACAGUGGAAAUGCUCUACAGCUCGACUCAGUCCAGUCCCAAAUCUUGUUAUCACUUAUUUGGAUAAAUGAUUAACCACAGUUUCAUCUUUUGAUACAGUCACAGCGGUCUUAAUGGAUGUUGAAACAUUUGAACUCCAAUUGAACUCUUUGUGACAUCAUUUCCUGAGUUAUCUUGUUUUCCUCUCUCUCACUCCAGUUCUCAUGAGACAGGCCAGUGUGUGUAGAGAGAACACAUUUGACCAGGUGGAGUCAGGCUUCUACUUCAUCGCCCUGGACCACUACACCAAUGACUCAGAGGACCUCAAGUUUGGAGCAGGGAGUCACAAACUAAUCGUAUGCCUUACGCAACUUGGCACAAAUUAUGCUGAUGCCCCACUGUAAAAACCUGGAGAUAUUCACUGGUUCUGAGGGAGGUGAUGUGACCACAAACAGUGCCUAGGAGACCUUCCAGCACUAACACUGUCUAGAGAACAGCCAGAGGGUGGACAAGACAUCUGCAACUUCAUCUUUAGUGGGUCAGCUCUGUUGCACCUGGGAGAUAACGAUGUCUCCGGCUUGCUGAUAACAUCUGAUCUGAUGAGACUCUUUAUGCGAUUUGACUCUUCUAUUACUGACUCAAUUAAACUGUGUCAAAUAUAAAAAAUAAGAACACAUCAAUUAAGGAUUCUGUAAUUCAUAGAUAAUGGUUGUCCCAAAUCAGACAAUUACUAUAAAAAAAGCAGUUUUCCUCUGUGCAAUGUUUGGUGAAUACAUGGUGUUGUUUUGUUCUCAGUCCUUCUCAGUCCUGUGAAUGCUGCGUGUACUGAUUCAGUUCUAAAUGACCAUCAUUGAGUCAAUCCUCGCCACACUGCAACAGAUUGUCCGGUCCGCAGAGAGGGUCAUUGGCUGCCUCCUGCCCGCCAUCGAGGUCCUGCAUGACUCCCCUCUUCCAAAGACUCCUCUGGCAAAUGGUUCAGGUCAAUCACAACCAAAACCUCCCGCCACCUGAACAGUUUCUUCUCCCGUGCCGUGGCCUCACCAAUCAUCUACGAUGAUCCUCUCAUCCCAUGGACUUUGCACUCUGCAUCCACAGACUAUGCACCCUGCACUGCACAUUGCUCUUUGCACAUCUCUUAUAUGAAUAAUAUAGCUUUUUUUUUACGUCUUAGUCAUUUAGCAGACACCUUUAUUGAGUUUACAUAUUCUAUGUGGAUCUGUGAAAAUGUUGCAUCUAUAUAUAUAUUUUUUAUCUGUAUAUUCUGUUUAUCGUCUGUAUAUUCUGCUUAUUGUGGCAGGACCAUUUCACAGAGUAAAAUUCCUGUGCAUGCAAACGUAUUUGGCCAAUAAAUCUGACUCGGACUUGUUAACCUUAGUUUAGCUGGUAUAUCAUGUCAGUUUACAUUCUAUUAUUUGGGACUGGUUAUGUACUGGAUGAACUGUAGCAGCUAGCAGAUUCUCCCCUUUGUGUCUUCAUAUACUUCAAAAUUCCCCAUCUGCUGUGUGUGUGUGUGUGUGUGUGUGUGUGUGUGUGUGUGUGUGUGUGUGUGUGUGUGUGUGUGUGUGUGUGUGUGUGUGUGUGUGUGUGUGUGUGUGUGUGUGUGUGUGUG
This is a long non-coding RNA of Salvelinus fontinalis (brook trout), 1767 nucleotides long. RefSeq lists it as uncharacterized. Lineage: Eukaryota; Metazoa; Chordata; Actinopteri; Salmoniformes; Salmonidae. The transcript is spliced from 3 exons. The record is from RefSeq and is a predicted model, not a curated record.